ACGCUGUAAACGAUGAGUGCUAGGUGUCGGGGAGGAAUUCCCGGUGCCGGAGCAAACGCAAUAAGCACUCCACCUGGGGAGUACGACCGCAAGGUUGAAACUCAAAGGAAUUGACGGGGGCCCGCACAAGCGGUGGAGCAUGUGGUUUAAUUCGAAGCAACGCGAAGAACCUUACCAAGGCUUGACAUACCUUUGACAGAUGUAGAGAUAUAUUUUUCCUUCGGGACAAAGGAUACAGGUGGUGCAUGGUUGUCGUCAGCUCGUGUCGUGAGAUGUUGGGUUGAGUCCCGCAACGAGCGCAACCCUUAUCUUCAGUAGCCAGCAAGAGAGAUGGGCACUCUGGAGAGACUGCCGUGGAUAACACGGAGGAAGGUGGGGAUGACGUCAAAUCAUCAUGCCCCUUAUGUCUUGGGCAACACACGUGCUACAAUGGCUAGAAACAAAGUGAAGCGAGACGGUGACGUUAAGCAAAGCACAAAAACCUAGUCCCAGUUCGGAUUGUAGUCUGCAACUCGAGUACAUGAAGCUGGAAUCGCUAGUAAUCGCAAAUCAGAAUGUUGCGGUGAAUACGUUCCCGGGCCUUGUACACACCGCCCGUCACACCAUGGGAGUUGGAAGCGCCCGAAGUCGAUGACCCAACCUGCGAGGGAGGGAGUCGCCGAAGGUGAAGCCAGUGACUGGGGUGAAGUCGUAACAAGGUAGCCGUAUCGGAAGGUGCGGUUGGAUCACCUC
RNAcentral lists this ribosomal RNA (732 nucleotides) under uncultured bacterium. RNAcentral's name for it is "bacterial SSU rRNA". It matches the Rfam family "Bacterial small subunit ribosomal RNA", at positions 797 to 1529 of the family's 1533-position model. The record is from RNAcentral.